This 82-nucleotide transfer RNA is filed under the name Candidatus Dadabacteria bacterium. RNAcentral's name for it is "tRNA-Leu". It matches the Rfam family "tRNA". From Rfam's summary of the family: Transfer RNA (tRNA) molecules are approximately 80 nucleotides in length. Their secondary structure includes four short double-helical elements and three loops (D, anti-codon, and T loops). RNAcentral also lists the same sequence under 1 other name. The record is from RNAcentral. Lineage: Bacteria; Pseudomonadati; Thermodesulfobacteriota; Candidatus Dadabacteria.
GCGAGCGUGGCGGAACUGGCAGACGCGCUAGACUUAGGAUCUAGUACCUUCGGGUGUGGGGGUUCGACUCCCUUCGCUCGCA